RNAcentral lists this non-coding RNA (25 nucleotides) under Rattus norvegicus (Norway rat). Lineage: Eukaryota; Metazoa; Chordata; Mammalia; Rodentia; Muridae. The record is from RNAcentral.
UUCUAGAUGUGCAGGAGCUUGGAGG